UGCAUUCCAUAACCAAACAAAAAACUCAAAUUAGCUAAGUAACCAAAAUAUUCUUCUCUCUCUUCCUUUCCCUUCCUAUCUCUCUCAUCCCUCUCUCUAAAAAUCUAAUUUUAGUUUUUUUCUUGGUUAUUUCACAAAUUCUCCCAAAAAAAUACAUAUAUGACAAAGUCAGACAAACAGCAAAACAUCUAAUCCUAAAAGCGGGAUAGACGUCCUCUGAACACUACAACAAUACAAACUCACCAGUUAUAGUCACAAUUAUAAACACAACUACUGCACAAUUUAAACAAAUACUCCAUCAACUGCAUCAAAUCCUUCGCAACAUACAGUAACGGGAAAAAUCAAACUCAACAACCCCGCGCUUGCGCGGGGCUCCGCACCUAGUUAACAUAAAGACUCGAUAUGGUAAGGUCUAACGCACCUCACUGAAUCCUAUAGGAUAAUAAUAGAAACAUGUAGUUUGUCAAUAUCGCUCGAAGUUACAUUCCUUAGCUGCGUGGGCAACUCCAUUGUGUUGUUUGUCCAGUUGACUAGCACAAGAACUACCCAUACAAGCCCUUCUACUGGAGCAAAGACCUUAACCUGCGCAUAAAAGAAAUCAAAAGAGAUAUGUUUAUGAAAUCAUUUGAGAGAGAAGACUAACAAAAAUCGUCGUUAGGAGGUUCACAUAUGAAACGUGUAAUGUGAAUUUAAUAUAUUUAUGCUACAUACAUUCUUUGGCAUGAUUGGCUCAACUGCUCAGCAUCUAAAUUAAUUUAUCCAUGUGAGUAUAUAAUAAGAAGUUACGUUCCAAAUGUGAUUUAUGUAAUAUGAACUCUUGUUCCAAAUGUGAUUAUAUUAUCAUCUGAAGUCUUGUUCCAAGUUUCAUAAAUAUAUAUGCACAAAUAGUUACAAUACAAAUAUUAAUAGUAUGUCGGAAGAAAAUAUAUGAGCUUACUAGUAGCCAAGUUUAAAAAGAAACCCACGACUACAUGUGCUAAAGGAAAGCAUGAUGUUCUUCUAUCUUUAAUUCAGAUGACGGACCUUUAAAAUGGCAAGCAGACUAAAGCCACUAAAACAGAAAUUCGUGUUGUUUUUACUACGACGAACGGAAGAAACUGAAGAAGACAUGUUGCUCUGCAAUUGCGUGAUGCCUUGGGACGAGAUACUGUUUGAUCCAAUAAUGGUGUUUAUGUUGGUAGUUUUAGUUGAAUCAAUACAAUAAAAGAAUCUAAAGAAGAUGAAUAGAUUCUUUGAGGUUUAAAGAGAAAUCAACAUAGAAAUCAAAUAGAAAAUGAACAUCAAAAGAGUUUAUUGAUUUAAGAUUGUAUUACAUGUAGGAUUACAAGUGUAAAUAAAUCUAAUAAUCUAUAAACCCUUUGUAAGAAGUGUUCUAAGUCUAAAAUGGAGAAGAAGACAUCUUUGAUAAAGAGAGGUAUCUCUCUAUUUAUACAAAGAAAAAGCUAGGGCUUCAUAGUAAAAUGGGUCUAAUUUAUUGUCUAAUGGGCCUUGAGGUAGGAUGUAAAUCCACCUCCAACAAUAAGUCCCCCCAAGUUCGUAGAGAGAGAUGAAAUCGAUCUCUGUGAAUUUUACGAAUAGGGUUUAUUAGACAAUAAACUAGACACAUUCAUGCCUAUGACGGUUUAGGCGAGUUUAUUUUGAACUUGUGCCUAGUAAAAGGCGAGUUUGCUUUAAACUCGUGCUUAGUGAAAGACGAGUUUACUUGACUCAUGCUGAGACAGAGGCGAAUUUACUGAGAACUCGCGCCUAGUAGAAGGGAAGUUUCUGUAAACUCAUGCCUAGUCAAAGACGAGUUUUUGUAAACUCGUGUCUAACAAUAAGCGAGUCGACCGCAAACUCGUGCCUAAUAAAAAGCAAGUUCAAUUUAAACUUGUUCCUAAAGUACACGUUUACCGAAUUAUUGCCAACCCGAAGUCUCGUGUUGAGAUCGUGUGUGCCAAACAAGUAGUUGGUGUGUAUGCUUGUCUAGCUAUGACAACGUUGAGAAACGUGCUGGUUUGUGUCGCUUGUACUGCUUCCGGCGGCAAGCUCACAGCUGAGAGAUCGCCAUUCCAAGCAUGAGGACAUGAUAGUAGCAUUCACUCGUUGAUCCUCUUUGGCUCGACGUUACGUAAUCAACUCUGGUUCACAAGAGGAAUGAUUAGAUCACGUCAAUUCUAAGAGAAAUAAACAAGUUUUGCAUAAUCACUAAGUAAGCGAUGGAACUUGUUUUGCUUAAUGCUUGUGAGUUGAACAUGAUGAUGUAUUAAUUAUCAACUUAUUAAUAUCAUAAGCUACCAACAGUAAAGCAAAUAACAAAACUCACCCCAUAAAAAGUCAUACGAGAAUGUGUUGUUUAAUAAUAUAAACCAAAGCUAUAAUGCCUAACACAUGUGUGUAAUUUCAAAGUGAUUAAAGCAUGUAAUGAUUUGAUAAGAGAGCUUAUCUUUGGUGGUGAGGAAGAAACAAGCGUUGAGGUUGAGAUUAUGUGACUGCCAAGAUCGAGCUGUUACUGAGAUGAUCUCCAAGCAAUGCCAAGAUCACGUCAUACUGAGAAGUAAAGCUCUUGGGGAACAAUCGGAGACUGAACAUGCUGGUAGAGAGUAGACUUCUGUAGCUGAAUCCAAUGAAGAGGCUAAGACGCGAUCUUGACGACGUCAAGCUCAGGAAGCAAGCUUCUAGCGGUGGAGCUGUCUGUAGAAAACGUGGACAGUGCUCGUGCCAAGCUGUUUGCAGGAAGCGACAAGCUCUCGAGUUAAGAUCAGUAUUGCUGCUCUUGUUCUUGUCUUUGCUGUUAAGUCAAGGUGAUGGAUCAGUAUUGCUGCUCUUGUUCCUUGGUCCAUUUCUGAGCCAUCCAAAGUUGAGAAAGACGAGCACCAGGAAUCUGAUACUCGCAGCUCCUUCUCUGUGGUUCUCUGGAGCUUCAAGCUUGGUCCACUCUCGGUUCGAGCCAAGGAAUCUGAGCUCUGCACUCUGUAUCUUCUAAAGCAGCAGCAGCACACCCUUGACUAUCUCUUGAACCAUAACCACCUGAAAGGUGAAUUGCCUUUAGAGAUCUCCAAGCUUCUGCAGCUUCAACAUCAAGGCGAGCUCAGUGGUGGCAAGACCUAGCUCCUUAGCUCAAGAUCUCGAGAUAAGCUUGCCGUGAUUGGCAAAUGCUUCUCAAACUUCUCAUGAGACAUCAUCAUGGCCCUUGGCAUUAACAAGAUUCUUGAGGCCCAAAAGCUCUCGCCAUCUGGUCACACAUGACAAAGGAGGAAGCUUUCUCAUGGAGCCUUGCUGUUGAUGGAGCUCGAACCCGGUGGAGAGGCUUUGAGCCGGGAAGAUUAUGACGGCUUGAUAAAGCUUCAAACUUUCUCAUUUGCUCCAGCAAGAGCCAUAAAUGUCCCGAGGAGGAGGAGAUAUAUGAAGCCGAGAUCAAGUAUCGCGAGGUCGUCGUUGCUCAGAUCAAGCAUCACGAGGUCACCAUUGCACAGGCUGAGGCGACGAGUGAUUAAACUCAAGACGUGGCGGUGGAGACAAGGUCGAGCUAGCUUCGCCGAGAUCAAUUCUCGAGGUCUGUUGCAAUCGUUCUGAGCCAAGAGGAAACAGAGGCGACCAGCUCCUCGUUGGUUUCGAAGUCGGAUAAGCUGUUGCCACCGUGAAGAGAUGACAAAGUGACGAGAUGAUUUGAUUCAUCGUUACGGCUUUCUUCAUGGACUUGAAAGAAGCUCGACAAGUCACCGGUGGAUCGAGGUGAGUUCGGCAUGUGAUUGAACUCGACGUGGUGGUGGAGAAACGAAUUGACGAGUUCGUCAUCCAUGAAGACGAGAUGCCCAGAUCGGAAUUGACGAGUUCGUCACCGACGGAACGAGACUCAACCAUCGCGAGGUUGCAAUCGCCGCUCCGAGCCAUCUCCACAAGCCGAAGGACCAGACGAGGGCUCUCUGAGAAUCAAAAGCAAAGCUUUCACGGUCGUUCAAGAAAGCUUCGAACUUUCCCCUAACCAAAGUCGUGUAUUGGUGAAGAAACAAAAUGACAUUGUUGAUUUUUUUUUUUUGGGUAGAUCUAGGGUUUUUCCAAACUUGAUUUGUUUUGAAGAUAGUUCUCUUUGGCCCCCUCCUUCUAGCGCCAACUGUUUGAUCCAAUAAUGGUGUUUAUGUUGGUAGUUUUAGUUGAAUCAAUACAAUAAAAGAAUCUAAAGAAGAUGAAUAGAUUCUUUGAGGUUUAAAGAGAAAUCAACAUAGAAAUCAAAUAGAAAAUGAACAUCAAAAGAGUUUAUUGAUUUAAGAUUGUAUUACAUGUAGGAUUACAAGUGUAAAUAAAUCUAAUAAUCUAUAAACCCUUUGUAAGAAGUGUUCUAAGUCUAAAAUGGAGAAGAAGACAUCUUUGAUAAAGAGAGGUAUCUCUCUAUUUAUACAAAGAAAAAG
RNAcentral lists this long non-coding RNA (4388 nucleotides) under Brassica napus (rape). RNAcentral describes it as "long non-coding RNA (BNAP_LNC002933)". The record is from RNAcentral. Lineage: Eukaryota; Viridiplantae; Streptophyta; Magnoliopsida; Brassicales; Brassicaceae.